Molecule: ribosomal RNA, 463 nt
Filed under: uncultured bacterium
Lineage: Bacteria
Description: partial 16S ribosomal RNA
Rfam family: Bacterial small subunit ribosomal RNA
Source: RNAcentral
GACGAACGCUGGCGGCGUGCUUAACACAUGCAAGUCGAACGGAAAGGCCUUUUCGGAGGUACUCGAGUGGCGAACGGGUGAGUAACACGUGGGUGAUCUGCCCUGCACUCUGGGAUAAGCCUGGGAAACUGGGUCUAAUACCGGAUAGGACCGCACUUUAGUGUGGGUGGGGGAAAGUUUUUUCGGUGUAGGAUGAGCCCGCGGCCUCUCAGCUUGUUGGUGGGGUAAUGGCCUACCAAGGCGGCGACGGGUAGCCGGACUGAGAGGUUGGUCGGCCACAUUGGGACUGAGAUACGGCCCAGACUCCUACGGGAGGCAGCAGUGGGGAAUAUUGCACAAUGGGCGCAAGCCUGAUGCAGCGACGCCGCGGGGGGGAUGACGGCCUUCGGGUUGUAAACUCCUUUCGCCAGGGACGAAGCGUUUUGUGACGGUACCUGGAGAAGAAGCACCGGCUAACUACGUG